Molecule: ribosomal RNA, 546 nt
Filed under: Vuilleminia sp.
Lineage: Eukaryota; Fungi; Basidiomycota; Agaricomycetes; Corticiales; Vuilleminiaceae
Description: partial large subunit ribosomal RNA
Rfam family: Eukaryotic large subunit ribosomal RNA
Source: RNAcentral
UAACGAGGAUUCCCCUAGUAACUGCGAGUGAAGCGGGAAAAGCUCAAAUUUAAAAUCUGGCGGUUUAUGGCCGUCCGAGUUGUAAUCUAGAGAAGCGUCUUCCGUGCCGGACCGUGUACAAAUUUCUUGGAACAGAAUAUCAUAGAGGGUGAGAAUCCCGUCUUUGACAUGGACUACCGGUGCUCUGUGAUGCGCUCUCGAAGAGUCGCGUUGUUUGGGAAUGCAGCGCAAAAUGGGUGGUAAAUUCCAUCUAAAGCUAAAUAUUGGCGAGAGACCGAUAGCGAACAAGUACCGUGAGGGAAAGAUGAAAAGCACUUUGGAAAGAGAGUUAAACAGUACGUGAAAUUGUUGAAAGGGAAACGCUUGAAGUCAGUCGCGUCCAGCGGAACUCAGCCUUGCUUUUGCUUGGUGCACUUUCCGUUUGACGGGCCAGCAUCGAUUUCGGCCGCUGGAAAAAGUUCAGGGGAAGGUGGCACCCUCGGGUGUGUUAUAGCCUCCGUUCGCAUACAGCGGCUGGGAUCGAGGAUUGCAGCAUGCCUUUUGGCC